Molecule: ribosomal RNA, 542 nt
Filed under: uncultured bacterium
Lineage: Bacteria
Description: partial 16S ribosomal RNA
Rfam family: Bacterial small subunit ribosomal RNA
Source: RNAcentral
UGGGGAAUAUUGCACAAUGGGCGCAAGCCUGAUGCAGCCAUGCCGCGUGUGUGAAGAAGGCCUUCGGGUUGUAAAGCACUUUCAGCGAGGAGGAAGGUGGUGAGCUUAAUACGCUCAUCAAUUGACGUUACUCGCAGAAGAAGCACCGGCUAACUCCGUGCCAGCAGCCGCGGUAAUACGGAGGGUGCAAGCGUUAAUCGGAAUUACUGGGCGUAAAGCGCACGCAGGCGGUUUGUUAAGUCAGAUGUGAAAUCCCCGGGCUCAACCUGGGAACUGCAUUUGAAACUGGCAAGCUAGAGUCUCGUAGAGGGGGGUAGAAUUCCAGGUGUAGCGGUGAAAUGCGUAGAGAUCUGGAGGAAUACCGGUGGCGAAGGCGGCCCCCUGGACGAAGACUGACGCUCAGGUGCGAAAGCGUGGGGAGCAAACAGGAUUAGAUACCCCUGGUAGUCCACGCUGUAAACGAUGUCGAUUUUGGAGGUUGUGCCCUUGAGGCGUGGCUUCCGGAGCUAACGCGUUAAAUCGACCGCCUGGGGAGUACGGCC